UUAUUAGGUGAUUAAUGGUUUAGCUUCUUAAAGCCCAAAUGUACCCGUAAUGUAGACGUAAAACAGUAAACACGUCGUUACUCGGUAGAAACGACCCGCGUCCGCCAUCUUGUUAAUGGUAAGUUGAGCUUCGACAUAAAUCGAAGUUUACUUAGAAACUAAUUAAGCUUAAUUGUGUUAAUGAAAGAGGCUGCAAAAAUAAGUUGUUGCUCGCGUAGCACAAGAACUAAGGAAGUUAUCCACUAAACACUGGAUAUGAAGUCCGUCGGGCCAAGACCAAUUCUGGACGUCUCCAUGACGUGCAGACAAGGCCGUCUAACGAUGACUCCUCUUGUACGUCAAUAGGCAGUUCAAUGUUUGAACGUCGGACUUUUAGAGGUCAUACAGACCAGCGCCAUAGAAAGAGAGUUACGACACUCUCUGAACUCACCGAUAGGCGGUCACGUGGUUCAUGUUAGGUCACGUGGUUCAUGUAGCUCUCAAUAGUUCCAAACAUGUCAGCGGUGUCAGUCAGGUUGAACGGCUUCAGGCGCGACAUAACGCAAAAAGCGACUUUUUUCACUCUUUCCUGUGACUUUUGGUAAUUAAAUAAUAAUGAACUGAUUACUGGCUACUAAAUCAUAAUUUGAAAAUCCAAACAGAAGUAACAAUACCUAAUAUAAAUGCUCUUUCUGAUCUCCGCAUGCUAGCACAUGCUAGCAGGGAUGCUAUAACUGUAUUCUGUGCCAGCAGUUAAGAGCUCUGAUCAAACUUACCUUCGGAUCUAUGUCCUAUACUACGUGGAAAGAUCUGUUGUCUAUGUAUUUCAAAAAAAUAUCCAAACAUUACAGAUGGAAAAUGAGCAGAAUUAAAAUUUUAUUAAAAAAAUUAAUAAUUUUUUAAUGAUUGAGGAAAAUAUGUACUGACCAGUGAUCACACAUAUAGUUCUAAAGUAAACUUUGGUACGAACUGUGUUAAAUAAUAUGUUUCAAAUUUUUUACCUAAUCUUUAUGCUAACAGUGCCAUUAUAAUUUCAGAGAUGAGGGAAAGUGAAGGGGAAAAAGAAGAUGAAAUUGUAGCCUCAGAGGACAGGGACAUGCCAGGAACUGAUGAGCCAGGGUCAACAGGGCAAGAAGUAUGCAUCAACAGGGAAUACAAUCAGGAAACUGAGGUGAAAAAGCUGAGGGAGGAAUUAGAAAACCAAAAAAAUUCACAUAAGAACAAUAGAAGGAGAACUUUACAGCCUUCAGUCUGGUCCAGAAAGUUGAAAAACUUUUCAGAACGAGGUCCAGUCAAUCUGUCAUGGAGCUCCCAAAUGUCAUGGAUACUCUAGAGAGAGAAGCAAAUCUAUUAGAAAGCAUGCUUCCUUCAUGUCACGAAGUGCAAAGACAAAUAACCACCAGAUUCAUCAGGCUGAGACUAAGAAUAGCAGCAAAACAUCUUUAAUGAAAGAAAAAAAAAUUCUGGCCACCGCUGGACAUCUUUGAAAUAAAAGCCAGGCGAAAAACACGAAGAAAAAACAACGUCAAACCUUUUCUUGCACCCCAACAAACAAGCACUAAGCAAACACGUUGACUGUUACCACGGACCUUUGAUUGUUUAAAGGAAAGAAGAAGAAUUGCAUUCAAUUCGCGAGCUUUGGAGCAACAGCGUUCUGAUUUGGACCAGUAAACGCCACUCUGAUUGGCUCAGGCAGCACGUGAUUAUGACCCAACCUAUAAAGGGUGGCUUUGCUGAGGAGCUCGGCUUCACCACCAGCAAAACAAAGGAAGAAAAAGUAGCACGCUUCAUUUAAAACCUAACUUCUGCUAUUUGGUGUUCAUAUCUGCUGGAGCUGAAGAAACUGGCUGCGCUCAACUCACUACAAUCCACUCAAAAGUUGAAGAUCAUGUAAACAAGGGCUGUUUGGAAGGAGGGUGAACAAGAGGAGGAGGGUGUACUUCCUGAUGACUGGAUCAACAGAAGCAAGAGAACUGUUAGGUGGCCACAGAGCAUGAGCAUCACAAAAACCAAAAGAGACCAAAGAUGACUGGAUAACGUUCCCAUUGAUCAAGAUAAAAAUGA
This is a long non-coding RNA of Girardinichthys multiradiatus, 2043 nucleotides long. RefSeq lists it as uncharacterized. Lineage: Eukaryota; Metazoa; Chordata; Actinopteri; Cyprinodontiformes; Goodeidae. The transcript is spliced from 3 exons. The record is from RefSeq and is a predicted model, not a curated record.